Molecule: non-coding RNA, 783 nt
Organism: Podarcis muralis (Common wall lizard)
Lineage: Eukaryota; Metazoa; Chordata; Lepidosauria; Squamata; Lacertidae
Source: RefSeq, a predicted model, not a curated record
CUGAACCAAGGAGAUAAUCUAAAAUGGUUGUUGUAACUAAAUAUAAAUGCAUCUUCUUUUUGAGCUAUUCUGUUGGUUUUGCAUUUCUUUAUGUUUGCAAUAAUCUAUAUAGGUUUAAUAUUCAUGCAGUAAUCUGGCAGUAGUUAGCAGAAAUUAAAUAAAGAUUAUAAGAAUAAGAAGAGUUAAACAAAGGCACAUAGUCUAUUUUAUGAGCUGCUGUUCUGAGCCAGUAUAGCUUUGUGGUGACAAAAUUAGUUAGUGGUAGUACACUCUGAGGAGAAAACAUUCAUUAAGCAUUCAAUGGGGCACUUAGCUGUUUCAGACCUCAUAAAGUCUUUUUUAUUAUUUGAACUGUCCAUCAAUAGGUGUUUCGUAGCAUUGGGUAACCACAUCAGUAGCCCAGAUCUGCCUGCGCUGUUGAAUACUAUGUCUGCAUCAUAAGCAAGAUGAUGAGGAAUUGCAACAAAAUCAGAAUUUUAUGCCAUACUUUGCAUAUUUGGACAGUAUAUCUUGCCUCAGUGGACAUGUUCCUCUAAAAGACAGAAGCUGCUCAUCAAUUGCAACGUUCUUAUAGGCCAAGAUUCAUUGUGUCUUUGGGUUGUAUCCAACAUGGCUUCUAUUGAACUUAAUGGACAAUGACUAACACUAAUUUCAAUGUGUCUGCUCUAACUUAGUUGGAUCCAACCCUUGAUAAAUGUAUUUCACAUUUCACUCUCAGGGAGAAGCUUAUCUCCCAUGAUGAUUGUUUGGUGUUGAGGUAGAUAAUAAAAUCUGAGGACUCUA